Molecule: ribosomal RNA, 296 nt
Filed under: Butyrivibrio hungatei
Lineage: Bacteria; Bacillati; Bacillota; Clostridia; Lachnospirales; Lachnospiraceae
Description: partial 16S ribosomal RNA
Rfam family: Bacterial small subunit ribosomal RNA
Source: RNAcentral
UAAAGGGAGCGCAGACGGUGAUGCAAGUCUGAAGUGAAACCCCACGGCUCAACCGUGGGCUUGCUUUGGAAACUGAUUGACUAGAGUCUAGGAGAGGUAAGCAGGAUUCCUAGUGUAGCGGUGAAAUGCGUAGAUAUUAGGAGGAACAUCGGUGGCGAAGGCGGCUUACUGGACAGCAACUGACGUUGAGCGUCGAAGGCGUGGGGAGCAAACAGGAUUAGAUACCCUGGUAGUCCACGCGGUAAACGAUGAAUACUAGGUGUUGGGUGCCAUAGGCAUUCAGUGCCGUCGCUAAC